RNAcentral lists this ribosomal RNA (227 nucleotides) under uncultured Bacteroides sp. RNAcentral describes it as "partial 16S ribosomal RNA". It matches the Rfam family "Bacterial small subunit ribosomal RNA", at positions 383 to 607 of the family's 1533-position model. The record is from RNAcentral. Lineage: Bacteria; Pseudomonadati; Bacteroidota; Bacteroidia; Bacteroidales; Bacteroidaceae.
CUGAACCAGCCAAGUAGCGUGAAGGAUGACUGCCCUAUGGGUUGUAAACUUCUUUUAUACGGGAAUAAAGUGAGGCACGUGUGCCUUUUUGUAUGUACCGUAUGAAUAAGGAUCGGCUAACUCCGUGCCAGCAGCCGCGGUAAUACGGAGGAUCCGAGCGUUAUCCGGAUUUAUUGGGUUUAAAGGGAGCGUAGGCGGACUAUUAAGUCAGUUGUGAAAGUUUGCGG